UACAGAGGGUGCGAGCGUUGUCCGGAAUCACUGGGCGUAAAGGGCGCGUAGGUGGCUUGCCAAGCGUGUGGUGAAAGCCCGGAGCUCAACUCCGGGUCGGCCAUGCGAACUGGCAGGCUAGAGCACGGUAGAGGCCAAUGGAAUUCCGGGUGUAGCGGUGGAAUGCGUAGAGAUCCGGAAGAACACCGGUGGCGAAGGCGGUUGGCUGGGCCGAUACUGACGCUGAGGAGCGAAAGCGUGGGGAGCGAACAGG
Molecule: ribosomal RNA, 253 nt
Filed under: uncultured bacterium
Lineage: Bacteria
Description: partial 16S ribosomal RNA
Rfam family: Bacterial small subunit ribosomal RNA
Source: RNAcentral